Molecule: small RNA, 122 nt
Filed under: Marmota monax (woodchuck)
Lineage: Eukaryota; Metazoa; Chordata; Mammalia; Rodentia; Sciuridae
Source: RNAcentral
GCUGGGCAUGGUGGUGCAUGCCUGUAAUCCCAGUGGCUUGGGAGGCUGAGGUAGGAGGAUCUCAAGUUCAAAGCCAGCCUCAGCAAAAGCAAGGAUUUUGCUUCCUGCUGACCCUGUCUCUA